Molecule: long non-coding RNA, 1122 nt
Filed under: Homo sapiens (human)
Lineage: Eukaryota; Metazoa; Chordata; Mammalia; Primates; Hominidae
Description: non-protein coding lnc-GLYATL2-5:1
Source: RNAcentral
GCAUACAGCACCAUUUUCAACAUAAAACAUAAAAACCCAUUCAAAAUGGAGGUGAUGGUAGAUGCCUGGACAGAUUACCAGAUCAUCAUUACUCAGCCUCAGAACCAGAUAAAAAAUGACUGGGAUCAUUACACCAACUCUUACCACAUCUUCACCAAAGCUCCUGACAACUUAGAGGAGGUCACGCUCCGAGGUUAUCAACUGGGAGCAAACUUUCCAGAUCCAAUCUAACUAGAGGGCUUGGAUGAAGCAAUAAGAAAGGUUGCAACUUCAAAAUCAGUGCAGGUAGAUUACAUGAAAACCAUGCUCUUUAUACCGGAAUUACCAAAGAAACACAAGACUGCAAGUAAUGACAAUAUGGGGUUAUUUAAAAUGGGUGAUGAUAAGAAGGAAGGAAACUUUUCAAACAUGUUCUUAGGUGUUUCACAUGCAGGUCUUGUAAAUGAACACUGGGCCUUUGGGAAAAAUGAGAGGAGCUUUAAAUAUAUUGAACGCUGCAUCCAGGAUUUUCUAGGAUUUGGUGUGCUGGGUCCAGAGGCACAGCUUGUCUCUUGGCUUGUGAUGGGACAGUCCAGUGAGUUGAGAAUGGGUUAUACUGUCCCCAAACACAGAAACCAAGGCAACAUGUCGCAAAUUGGUUAUCAUCUUGAAAGUUAUCUUUCUCAGAAAGAAAUCCCAUUUUAUGCUCAUGCGGCAGAUAAUAGUGAGAAAAUCCUACAGGCACUGAAAAAUGUUGGGUUUAAGAUUUGACCUUGUGGCUGGCAUCAGUGGAAAUGCAUCCCCAAGAAAUAUUGUUGAUUAGUUCCACUGUCCAUUUCAAAUCUUAUCAGUAGAAAAUCAUUAAUUCAAACACAAAUAUGAUGAUGUACAUUAGCACAAAAGACACCUGAUUAUCCAGGAUCUGGGUAUUAUUUAAGCUCACCCUUAACAUUUUUACCCUCCUCUUCCUCUGUAUUCUUACAGAAAAUUAGAAGCUCAAUCCUAUGGUCUCAUAAUUUCAUUUAUGGUGACAGACAUCUCAGAAUUAAAAUCACCCAAUGCCAAUCAUUAGUGUCAAGAUAACCCUUUAUAGCAACACUUUCUUAAAUGAAGAUGACUUCUUUGAUGAAAAAAAUUGCUUUU